UUGCUUUUUCAGUAAAUAACUUCAAACUAUGAAAAAGAAAAUCUCUAUAAAAGCCUUUUCUUCAUCUCAAAAUGUGUUGACAUGAAGUGAGAUGGAUGGCUGUUGUUGCAUUGAGUUGUAUGCCCCGGAGAAGGAGACUCCAGGCAAGGACAUGAGUCCACCACCUCCACCCCUCAAAAUGGCCUCCUGUUGAUGGGUGUAUGGGUGGGCGUGAAGCGCUUUUCUCUUUACCCAGAUGUGCCCUGAAAGGGAUGCCCUGAAAUACCCUGAUUUUAUUUAUGAUUAAAAAACUGUUAAAAGAAAAGGAAAACAUGACUCAGUUCUCAGUUAUUUUUGUCACUACAUUAAGGCAGUGUUGUUAGCAGUAUCCCAAACACUGCAGCUGGCAGCAUGCUGUGCUGAGCUGGACUGCCUGAGACAGAAGAAAAUAGGGCUGUUUUCAAUCACUCCUGAAUUUCUGUGCAAAAUCACCCGUUCUCAUUGUGUUAAACCCUGUCUUAACCCUCCUGGCUCAUGCAAAGGGCAAUUACUCGGCUCACAUAUCAUUGCAGCCCACUGCUUAUGAUGUGUGGGUGAUGCCUGAGGUGCUGCAUCAGAUGCUGGAGUCUUGCUAGGUGGCUUCUACUGGAAGACUGCCUCUUGCCCUGUACAGCCUGGGGGGGAGGUGAGGUUUUGCAAACUGGGAAGGGAAGGUGAGGAGCUGGCAGUUGGUGAUUGGGAGUUGGCCGUUAGCAACUGGCCUCCAGCAACUGGCCACAGAACAUUCCAGUGCCCUGCAGCUGAGGGUGAUGGGCACAACUGAUUGAGGGGAGGCCUGGGGCACAGCCCAGCUCCUGAGGAGGCCGUUGUUGGGCAAUCUGGAUUCCACAUAGCACUGGUGAAUGAUGAAAACAGAAGAUGUUUUAAUUCACAUCUGACAGUAAGCUGGGCAGAACAGCAGGGCAGUCACACACCGAACAAGUGAACCCAGAAAGGACAUGGGGAUUAAAAACUAGACUGUGGAUAGUAAACCACAAGUACAAGGAGUUGAUACUGGCAGGAGAAAGGAGCUGUAAGUCCUGAAACCUGAUGGAGUGCUGAACAGUUAAUGGAUCAUGUUAGGAAAGCUGUGUGAAGCAGUUACAGAUUGGAAGCCAGGAUUCCAUGACGAGGAAUCAAUCCCAAGAAAGGCCAGAGUGGGACAGAGGAUGACCUAGUUGGAAAAUAAUGCAUGGAAGUGGGGGAGAGGUAUCAGGUAUUGCUGGCUGCAUUGGUUGGAAAUAUCAUUGUAUUUGAUGGAAAGGAAGAGAAAGAGAAGGAAAAACUGAUUGUAAUAGCUGAGGCUGAAGCCUAAGACGUAAAGACACUUACAGCGAAUGCACAUUUCUACACAGCAGCAGAGGCUCAUUUGUUUAAGGUGCCAUGAGGAGCCACUGCAGUCUUCCUUGAGUCUGAACAUUCCCUGUCUUCUGUGU
Molecule: non-coding RNA, 1454 nt
Organism: Meleagris gallopavo (turkey)
Lineage: Eukaryota; Metazoa; Chordata; Aves; Galliformes; Phasianidae
Source: RefSeq, a predicted model, not a curated record